GCUGGGCGUGGUGGCGCGUGCCUGUAAUCCCAGCUACUUGGGAGGCUGAGGCAGGAGAAUCACUUGAACCUGGGAGGUGGAGGUUGCAGUGAGCCAAGAUUGUGCCACUGCACUCCAGCCUGGGUGACACAGUAAGUCUCUGUCUCAA
Molecule: unclassified non-coding RNA, 148 nt
Organism: Macaca fascicularis (crab-eating macaque)
Lineage: Eukaryota; Metazoa; Chordata; Mammalia; Primates; Cercopithecidae
Rfam family: Metazoan signal recognition particle RNA
About the family: The signal recognition particle (SRP) is a universally conserved ribonucleoprotein.
Source: Ensembl